ACUUUAAUUGAAGAGUUUGAUCAUGGCUCAGAUUGAACGCUGGCGGCAGGCCUAACACAUGCAAGUCGGACGGUAACAGGAAACAGCUUGCUGUUUUGCUGACGAGUGGCGGACGGGUGAGUAAUGUCUGGGGAUCUGCCCGAUGGAGGGGGAUAACCACUGGAAACGGUGGCUAAUACCGCAUAACCUCUUGGGAGCAAAGUGGGGGACCUUCGGGCCUCACGCCAUCGGAUGAACCCAGAUGGGAUUAG
Molecule: ribosomal RNA, 251 nt
Filed under: Xenorhabdus nematophila
Lineage: Bacteria; Pseudomonadati; Pseudomonadota; Gammaproteobacteria; Enterobacterales; Morganellaceae
Description: partial 16S ribosomal RNA
Rfam family: Bacterial small subunit ribosomal RNA
Source: RNAcentral